Molecule: ribosomal RNA, 198 nt
Filed under: uncultured bacterium
Lineage: Bacteria
Description: partial 16S ribosomal RNA
Rfam family: Bacterial small subunit ribosomal RNA
Source: RNAcentral
ACGCUCGACACCUACGGAGGCAGCAGUUGGGAAUAUUGGACAAUGGAGGAAACUCUGAUCCAGUGACGCCGCGUGAAGGAAGAAGGUCUUCGGAUUGUAAACUUAUUUUGUCAGGGAAGAAAAAUGACUGUACCUGAAGAAAAAGCACCGGCUAACUACGCGCCAGCAGCCGCGGUAAUCUGAGCGGGCUGGCAAGGC